This 1956-nucleotide ribosomal RNA is filed under the name Triticum aestivum (bread wheat). RNAcentral describes it as "partial small subunit ribosomal RNA". The record is from RNAcentral. Lineage: Eukaryota; Viridiplantae; Streptophyta; Magnoliopsida; Poales; Poaceae.
AUGCACCCCAAAACCCCGCUUCUCCUCCUCUUCUUCGCCGCCGGCGAGGCCGCGGGGACCACCCUCACGGCCACCCCGGCGAAGCUCACCCAAUCCGACCAAGAAAUCAAGAUCCGGUGGUCCGACCUCCCGUCCCCGGAUGGCCUCGACCACGUGGCGAUCUACUCCCCGCCGUCCUCCAGCGACCGCGACUUUCUCGGCUACAUCUUCCUCAAUGGCUCCGCCUCCUGGCGCAGCGGCCGCGGAGAGCUCACCCUCCCACGGCUCCCCAACCUGCGGGCGCCCUACCAGUUCCGCCUCUUCCGCUGGCCCGCCAAAGAGUACUCCUACCACCACGUCGACCACGACGGCAACCCGCUCCCCCACGGCCGCCACCGCGUCGCCCUCUCCGGCGAGGUCGCUUUCGCGGGCUCGGCCGCGCGGCCCGAGCAGGUGCACCUCGCGUUCGCCGAUAGGGCCGACGAGAUGCGGGUGAUGUUCGUGUGCGCGGACGCCGGCAAGAGGGCCGUCAGGUACGGGCUUGAGAAGGAGGGGGAGAAGGGUUGGACGGAGGUGGGCACGGAGGUGAGGACGUACGAGCAGAAGCACAUGUGCGACGCGCCGGCGAACGACAGCGUAGGGUGGAGGGAUCCGGGCUUCGUCUUCGAUGGCCUCAUGAAUGGGUUGGAGCCCGGAAGGAGGUACUUUUACAAGGUCGGUAGUGACCCGGGAGGAUGGAGCGAGACAUACAGCUUUAUUUCACGUGACAGUGACGCCAAUGAAACCAUUGCUUUUCUCUUCGGUGAUAUGGGCACUUAUGUACCAUAUAACACCUACAUCCGCACACAAGAUGAGAGCUUGUCAACGGUGAAGUGGAUCCUCCGUGAUAUUGAAGCCCUUGGAGAUAAGCCUGCAUUUAUUUCGCACAUUGGGGACAUCAGUUAUGCCAGAGGCUAUGCUUGGGUGUGGGACCAUUUCUUCAGCCAGAUUGAGCCUGUUGCAGCCAAUACUCCAUACCAUGUCUGCAUAGGAAAUCAUGAGUAUGAUUGGCCUUCACAACCUUGGAAACCUUCGUGGUCUACAUAUGGAAAGGAUGGUGGAGGUGAAUGUGGAAUACCAUACAGUGUCAAGUUCAGGAUGCCUGGGAAUUCUGUUCUACCUACUGGCAAUGGAGCUCCAGACACACGGAAUCUCUAUUACUCUUUUGAUUCAGGUGUCGUGCAUUUUGUGUACAUGUCGACUGAAACUAAUUUCGUUCAGGGCAGCGACCAACACAGUUUCCUAAAAGCUGACCUGGAGAAGGUGAACCGAAGUAGAACCCCAUUUGUUGUUUUUCAGGGCCACCGGCCGAUGUAUACCUCGAGCAACGAAGCCAGGGAUUCUGCCAUGAGACAGCAGAUGAUCCAGCAUCUUGAACCGCUUUUGGUGAUGUACAAUGUGACCCUUGCCCUGUGGGGACAUGUCCAUAGGUAUGAGAGGUUCUGCCCCAUGAAGAAUUCACAGUGUCUGAACACAUCAUCAAGCUUCGUAUACCCUGGUGCCCCUGUUCAUGUUGUGAUCGGGAUGGCCGGACAAGAUUGGCAACCGAUCUGGCAACCAAGGCGUGAUCAUCCAGAUGUUCCCAUCUUUCCACAGCCUGGAAUCUCCAUGUACCGUGGUGGUGAGUUCGGGUACACAAAACUGGUAGCUACCAGGGAGAAGCUAACGCUGAUGUACGUCGGGAACCACGACGGACAAGUCCAUGACAUGGUGGAGAUAUUCUCUGGACAAACAUCUACUGAAGCUAGCGCUACUGAGGCGGUCAAUCAAACAAAGCUCAGCUCGGGAACCAGCGCCAAGCUGAAGAUUUCCCCAUUAUACUUGGAAAUUGGAGGUAGUGUGAUGUUGGCAUUGCUGCUUGGUUUUGCCUUGGGAUUUCUCCUCAGGAAGAAGAGAGAAGCCGCACAAUGGACUCCGGUGAAGAACGAGGAAUCCUAA